CCUACGGGAGGCAGCAGUGGGGAAUAUUGCACAAUGGGCGCAAGCCUGAUGCAGCCAUGCCGCGUGUGUGAAGAAGGCCUUCGGGUUGUAAAGCACUUUCAGCGGGGAGGAAGGCGUUAAGGUUAAUAACCUUGGCGAUUGACGUUACCCGCAGAAGAAGCACCGGCUAACUCCGUGCCAGCAGCCGCGGUAAUACGGAGGGUGCAAGCGUUAAUCGGAAUUACUGGGCGUAAAGCGCACGCAGGCGGUCUGUCAAGUCGGAUGUGAAAUCCCCGGGCUCAACCUGGGAACUGCAUUCGAAACUGGCAGGCUAGAGUCUUGUAGAGGGGGUAGAAUUCCAGGUGUAGCGGUGAAAUGCGUAGAGAUCUGGAGGAAUACCGGUGGCGAAGGCGGCCCCCUGGACAAAGACUGACGCUCAGGUGCGAAAGCGUGGGGAGCAAACAGGAUUAGAUACCCCGGUAGUC
RNAcentral lists this ribosomal RNA (464 nucleotides) under uncultured Klebsiella sp. RNAcentral describes it as "bacterial SSU rRNA". It matches the Rfam family "Bacterial small subunit ribosomal RNA", at positions 338 to 795 of the family's 1533-position model. Lineage: Bacteria; Pseudomonadati; Pseudomonadota; Gammaproteobacteria; Enterobacterales; Enterobacteriaceae. The record is from RNAcentral.